Zalophus californianus (California sea lion) is the source of this 237-nucleotide long non-coding RNA. RefSeq lists it as uncharacterized. The transcript is spliced from 3 exons. NCBI's taxonomy places the organism in Eukaryota, Metazoa, Chordata, Mammalia, Carnivora, Otariidae. The record is from RefSeq and is a predicted model, not a curated record.
GGCAGGUUCAGAGAAGGGAUAUAAAGAGAUUAGAGCAGAGGAUGGCUAAAGGCAAAGGUGAAAACUACACCCAAGGAGAUGAAGCAACUUUCCACUGGAUGCCUCAGCUUGGCUCAAGGUGACCAUGAACAAACACUAUGAUGUCUCCCAACAAGUUCUUGCCUCCAGAGGCUCUGCUUUGACCCAGGUGACUUCAUGACAGCCACUGGGACUACACUGGUUCUCACUUGGCCCAAG